AGGACGAACGCUGGCGGCGUGCUUAACACAUGCAAGUCGAGCGGUAAGGCCCUUCGGGGUACACGAGCGGCGAACGGGUGAGUAACACGUGAGCAAUCUGCCCUCCACAUCGGGAUAACCCCCGGAAACGGGAGCUAAUACCGGAUACGACCACUUCAGGCAUCUGAUGGUGGUGGAAAGUUCUGGCGGUGGAGGAUGAGCUCGCGGCCUAUCAGCUUGUUGGUGGGGUAAUGGCCCACCAAGGCUUCGACGGGUAGCCGGCCUGAGAGGGUGACCGGGCCACGACUGGGACUGAGACACGGCCCAGACUCCUACGGGAGGCAGCAGUGGGGAAUAUUGGACAAUGGGCGAAAGCCUGAUCCAGCAACGCCGCGUGAGGGAUGACGGCCUUCGGUUGUAAGCUCUUUCGCCCGCGACGAUGAUGACGGUAGCGGGAGAAGAAGCCCGGCUAACUUCGCGCCAGCAGCCGC
Molecule: ribosomal RNA, 470 nt
Filed under: uncultured bacterium
Lineage: Bacteria
Description: SSU rRNA
Rfam family: Bacterial small subunit ribosomal RNA
Source: RNAcentral